GAUGAACGCUGGCGGCGUGCCUAAUACAUGCAAGUCGAGCGAACAGACGAGGAGCUUGCUCCUCUGACGUUAGCGGCGGACGGGUGAGUAACACGUGGAUAACCUACCUAUAAGACCGGGAUAACUUCGGGAAACCGGAGCUAAUACCGGAUAAUAUAUUGAACCGCAUGGUUCAAUAGUGAAAGACGGUUUUGCUGUCACUUAUAGAUGGAUCCGCGCCGCAUUAGCUAGUUGGUAAGGUAACGGCUUACCAAGGCAACGAUGCGUAGCCGACCUGAGAGGGUGAUCAGCCACACUGGAACUGAGACACGGUCCAGACUCCUACGGGAGGCAGCAGUAGGGAAUCUUCCGCAAUGGGCGAAAGCCUGACGGAGCAACGCCGCGUGAGUGAUGAAGGUCUUCGGAUCGUAAAACUCUGUUAUUAGGGAAGAACAAAUGUGUAAGUAACUAUGCACGUCUUGACGGUACCUAAUCAGAAAGCCACGGCUAACUACGUG
RNAcentral lists this ribosomal RNA (497 nucleotides) under uncultured bacterium. RNAcentral describes it as "partial 16S ribosomal RNA". It matches the Rfam family "Bacterial small subunit ribosomal RNA", at positions 28 to 507 of the family's 1533-position model. The record is from RNAcentral.